Molecule: long non-coding RNA, 139 nt
Organism: Etheostoma cragini (Arkansas darter)
Lineage: Eukaryota; Metazoa; Chordata; Actinopteri; Perciformes; Percidae
Exons: 3
Source: RefSeq, a predicted model, not a curated record
AUCAUUUUUUUUUUAAAUAUAAAACUUUCAUGGUUGCCCAACAACCAGAUUACACAGGUUUUUUUCCAACCAGCACAUAUUUUUGUUGUUUCUUUACUACAAUUAUCGGCUUGAAGAGCAUUCAAGUCUCUGACUCACC